CUUUCCCUUUCUCUCACUUGAAUUCCUCUCUCUUGAACUACCAUCCCUUUCCCUUUCUCUCACUUGAAUUCCUCUCUCUCUCCCCCAAGGUCUUCCACUUAAACUACUUCAGCCAUGAGUUUCUUUUCAAGCUAUCACCACCGGUUGUGAAGAAAAGAUUUUGGCAAGAGAGGGACCCAUUUGGCCAAGCAAGGAAUAUGAGGUUCCAAGGUACUUGGUGAUGGAACUAGUAACUUGAUUGGUUGAGUGCGGUGCCCGGUUGAGGUAGAUUUGGAAUGGAUUGCUGAGUUUUUCAGAUAAAUUUGCUAUACCCUCCUACAUGGAGUUGGUUUAAUUGGUGAUGAUUGGAGCAUUGUGCUAAUUGAGAGAGUUAUGCUAUGAUUGGUUGGUGACUCAACUUACUAAAUUUAUCAAGGCCACUGCUAUUUCUAUCAGAGGUUGGUUAGCCUUGGGCAGGGUAGGCUUAAAUUCUAUCAUUGAGGUUGCCUAUCCUAGGAAGAAUUGUGGUUUUUCAUUGAUCCAUUUGGAGCUUUGGGAUUUCAUGUAUAUUUGGAGACAUGAUUCAUAAUUUGUAUUGUUUGUAAAUGUCUCGUAGAGCUCUGACUUAUA
This is a long non-coding RNA of Quercus lobata, 609 nucleotides long. RefSeq lists it as uncharacterized. The transcript is spliced from 3 exons. The record is from RefSeq and is a predicted model, not a curated record. NCBI's taxonomy places the organism in Eukaryota, Viridiplantae, Streptophyta, Magnoliopsida, Fagales, Fagaceae.